Molecule: ribosomal RNA, 468 nt
Filed under: uncultured bacterium
Lineage: Bacteria
Description: partial 16S ribosomal RNA
Rfam family: Bacterial small subunit ribosomal RNA
Source: RNAcentral
GACGAACGCUGGCGGCGUGCUUAACACAUGCAAGUCGAACGGAAAGGCCCUGCUUUUGUGGGGUGCUCGAGUGGCGAACGGGUGAGUAACACGUGAGUAACCUGCCCUUGACUUUGGGAUAACUUCAGGAAACUGGGGCUAAUACCGGAUAGGAGCUCCUGCUGCAUGGUGGGGGUUGGAAAGUUUCGGCGGUUGGGGAUGGACUCGCGGCUUACCAGCUUGUUGGUGGGGUAGUGGCUUACCAAGGCUUUGACGGGUAGCCGGCCUGAGAGGGUGACCGGCCACAUUGGGACUGAGAUACGGCCCAGACUCCUACGGGAGGCAGCAGUGGGGAAUAUUGCACAAUGGGCGGAAGCCUGAUGCAGCAACGCCGCGUGCGGGAUGACGGCCUUCGGGUUGUAAUCCGCUUUCGCCUGUGACGAAGCGUGAGUGACGGUAAUGGGUAAAGAAGCACCGGCUAACUACGUG